UACAGAGGGUGCAAGCGUUAAUCGGAAUUACUGGGCGUAAAGCGUGCGUAGGUGGUGGUUUAAGUCCGUUGUGAAAGCCCUGGGCUCAACCUGGGAAUUGCAGUGGAUACUGGGUCACUAGAGUGUGGUAGAGGGUAGCGGAAUUCCCGGUGUAGCAGUGAAAUGCGUAGAGAUCGGGAGGAACAUCUGUGGCGAAGGCGGCUACCUGGACCAACACUGACACUGAGGCACGAAAGCGUGGGGAGCAAACAGG
RNAcentral lists this ribosomal RNA (253 nucleotides) under uncultured bacterium. RNAcentral's name for it is "partial 16S ribosomal RNA". It matches the Rfam family "Bacterial small subunit ribosomal RNA", at positions 524 to 776 of the family's 1533-position model. The record is from RNAcentral.